Caenorhabditis elegans is the source of this 21-nucleotide non-coding RNA. The record is from Ensembl. Lineage: Eukaryota; Metazoa; Nematoda; Chromadorea; Rhabditida; Rhabditidae.
UUCUCCGAUAUUAUGCAUGUA